UACGUAGGUGGCAAGCGUUGUCCGGAAUUAUUGGGCGUAAAGCGCGCGCAGGCGGUCCUUUAAGUCUGAUGUGAAAUCCCUCGGCUCAACCGAGGAACUGCGCCCGAGACUGCCUUUCUUGAGUCCCGGAGAGGAAGGUGGAAUUCCCGGUGUAGCGGUGAAAUGUGUAGAGAUCGGGAGGAACACCGGCGGCGAAGGCGGCCUUCUGGACGGUGACUGACGCUGAGGCGCGAAAGCGUGGGGAGCAAACGGG
Molecule: ribosomal RNA, 253 nt
Filed under: uncultured bacterium
Lineage: Bacteria
Description: partial 16S ribosomal RNA
Rfam family: Bacterial small subunit ribosomal RNA
Source: RNAcentral